This 465-nucleotide ribosomal RNA is filed under the name Vreelandella stevensii. RNAcentral describes it as "partial 16S ribosomal RNA". It matches the Rfam family "Bacterial small subunit ribosomal RNA", at positions 338 to 795 of the family's 1533-position model. The record is from RNAcentral. Lineage: Bacteria; Pseudomonadati; Pseudomonadota; Gammaproteobacteria; Oceanospirillales; Halomonadaceae.
CCUACGGGGUGCUGCAGUGGGGAAUAUUGGACAAUGGGCGAAAGCCUGAUCCAGCCAUGCCGCGUGUGUGAAGAAGGCCUUCGGGUUGUAAAGCACUUUCAGUGGGGAAGAAAGCCUUGGGGCUAAUACCCUCGAGGAAGGACAUCACCCACAGAAGAAGCACCGGCUAACUCCGUGCCAGCAGCCGCGGUAAUACGGAGGGUGCGAGCGUUAAUCGGAAUUACUGGGCGUAAAGCGCGCGUAGGCGGUCUGAUAAGCCGGUUGUGAAAGCCCCGGGCUCAACCUGGGAACGGCAUCCGGAACUGUCAGGCUAGAGUGCAGGAGAGGAAGGUAGAAUUCCCGGUGUAGCGGUGAAAUGCGUAGAGAUCGGGAGGAAUACCAGUGGCGAAGGCGGCCUUCUGGACUGACACUGACGCUGAGGUGCGAAAUCGUGGGUAGCAAACAGGAUUAGAUACCCGGGUAGUC